Molecule: unclassified non-coding RNA, 2292 nt
Filed under: Leishmania donovani
Lineage: Eukaryota; Euglenozoa; Kinetoplastea; Trypanosomatida; Trypanosomatidae
Description: gene:LdHU3.08.0170(CDS-product:hypothetical_prote in)
Source: RNAcentral
GAAAGGGUGUAUUACAGGCCCAUCCACACUCGGUUAGAGGGGCCAGUGCACGACGGAUGGCUCACUAGGGUGAACAUUAUGUUGGCUAGCGCUGUUUCAGACGCAGGCGUAGUCGUUGACGUCGUGGUCCAUAGGCGAGCCUCGAGCAGCUCCCUCCAAGGCAAUGUAGUUGCUGACGCUGCCGCAGUGGAAGCGUACGAGUGCGGGGACGCCGAGGCGAUUCUCCUGGGGGACGUGGCGGGUCCACAUCUAAAUAUGGCUAGGGCUAGUAGUGCCUCAGCUCGCACACUGCCGCGGAACGCGGGGCAGCAGGCGGAGCGAGAGCCUCCUAUCAUCGACGCGUGUUUCUUCUACUUAUGCACCCCCGUGAACCCGAGGGUCACGCAGCGCGUGUUCCAUUAUUUGAACAUUAUACCAUUCGGGCUGCAUCGCCCCUCGGAGGUGUUUGGUGUGGUGGGACGUCAUACAAACCUCGGCCUGGUGUCGGGGGUGACAAAGGACGGCCAGUAUCGUCUCGUGCCCUACCCACCACAGCAGCCGCAGCCACUGUACCUUGAGCGGGUACGGCACUCGCCACACUUCUUGUACCCCCACGACUAUCCCGCCACUGGCACCAUUGACCCUUCAUGUCUCCGCCGUAUCCGACACGAAAGCCGCAGCGACCGUGUGCAGCAAGCAACGAAGAACUUCUUCUGUCGGGCCGCUGCGCGGCAGGGGUGGGACGUGCACCGCCCGAGCAAUCCCUGCUCUACCUCCGUGGUGCAGUCCGCGAAUGCAUUGGCAGUGUCUGGGGGCUUGACUUCACUGCAGCUUGGAGUGAGUAGGCCGCGCUCACGCACACGUCGGCGCGGCUCGCACGCGGUGCCGCUGGGUGCCGCGCCUUCUUUUCCAGAGCUCCUGACAGUCAUCGCGCCAGCGGCGAAGGGCCCUUAUGCUGCCCCUCGACCUCCCCUGGAGGAAACACCGACGCCCUCCUCACCGCUGGCUGCAGAGUUUGUGCCGCUUAGUGGACACCCAGAUGCCGAUGACGGGCCAUCGCCGAUUAUGGUUGCCGGUACUGAGGAGUCGCGGGAGUUGUUAUGUACACUGGCGGAGCUGCAGCUCCCUCCUACCCUCGCGCUGCAUGAGCCCGUUCCACCCCUUCGUGUAGGCACGCGCGUUAUCGCUCGCCGCCUGGGGUGCGCCGAGGCACUCCACAUGGGUACUGUGCUGGCAGUCAGCUUCGAUGUCACCUACACCGUUCGCUACGACGCUGACGGCGGCAUCGACAAGGGUGUUCUUCACAGUGACGUGCACGUGCUCAACGCUGAGGACGAGGGUGAUGCGCAGGGUCGACAACGACCGUGGCACCGGCGCGCGCGCGAGCGCAGCGCGGAGCCGUGCACGGUGCGGGACCAAGUCAUGGUAGAAGUCGCGCAGCCGCCACAGCGGGCCGUCGUCAUGGCCGCCCUCGGCGGCGGUCGAUAUCAGGUUGCCGUUGCCGCGGCACCGGUGCCCUUGAUUGAGGUGGAAGCCUGCAAUGUGCUCUCGGUAGCGCCGGUGCUGGCCGGUGCCGUGUUUGCGCCGCCGCAUCACCUCACUCUCUUCCGCCAACUUGAUACAACCGGGACGGGGCACAUUAGCUGGAAAGACAUGCGACACUUUAUCCUUUCCUGGGAAGGCUUCGGCCAGCCCCUCUCCUUUCGGCGACUGGGUGAGAUCCAGCGCGACAUGUGCAUCUGCAAACGCAGCGCGGGGCCGAAGCUGCUGUCAAAAAUACCGGUCCAGGAGGAGGGGCAUCAGCUGUCCUUUCAAGAUUUCGAAUACGUGCUCUUGCGUGCUGCGAAUCUGCUCUAGUCACCGUGUGACCACCAGUUGUGCGCAGUCUCCUGCUCCUGUGGGAGUGUCUGUGUCUGUGUGCGCCUGUGCUGCGGCUGCGACGCCCAGAGAACAUAUGAUGUACUAUACGAGAAUUAACAUUAUUUGUUUGUACUUGUUUUUCCCCUGAGUGCGCUUCUUAUUCCCCCCACCCUUCCCCUAACGCCUGCUGAUGCGGGACCACCUCAGCCUGAUAUCAUACAGGGCUCAGUACCCACCCUCCGUGUGCCGACGGACAGUGCUGGGCUGAGCGGGCGCUCUGCCGGACAGGCUUGCAGCCAUGCCGAUCACAUUUGUGCCAGCUCACUACGAAUCAUGUCGGCGAUUCAAACAAGUCUAAGCAACCACCUACGGCUUUUUUUGCUUGCUUAGCUGCGCUGCGGUGAUGUUGAGCGUGAUCCUGGGCCCAGCCUGCGCUGUGUGGCAGCAGAAGUG